RNAcentral lists this long non-coding RNA (984 nucleotides) under Anser cygnoides (Swan goose). Its description in RNAcentral is "lncRNA (ENSACDG00005007711.1)". The record is from RNAcentral. Lineage: Eukaryota; Metazoa; Chordata; Aves; Anseriformes; Anatidae.
GGUGUGAAGGGAAACCUUAAUCAGCAGAAAAAGAAAUGUUAAUGUUGGUAUCAUUUUAUUGUUUAAUGGUAUGGUAGAUAUCAAUCUGCUUCCAUUUAGGAAAAGAAAAGCAGUGGUUUUGUUGUGAAAACUGCUUUAUGUGAUGUGAUAAGAGCUCAUAUUCCCAUCUGGCAAGAGGGAGCAGAACAUUCAAAUUAUUUUAGCUAGCCCUGUGUUACUAGUGGGAAAGGGAAUGAAACAUUGCUAUGGAAGUAAGUGAAUGCCUUACACUGAAGAUGUCAAAUGUGGAGUUGACAGCCAGGAUCCUCAACUACUGUACACAGUUUUGGACAAUUACUGGUUAAUACAGGGAAGAAUAUAAUGCAGAGUUACGUGCACCACAGACUUAUUAAGCUGUCUGUGAACAGAAUUUAAUUGGAAGACCACACAUUCUUGGACAGUGCAGCAACCAAGCCUGAUCCUGCUUUCAGAGGAAUUCAAGGUAUUAAAUCAGGAUCCUCUUUUCUUUUCUUUUUUUUUUUUUUUUUUUUGUGGGAGAAAAGCUGCAUAUGAAAUACUCUGCUCUGUUUGUUCCUUUCAGUACUAUCUCCUGUCUGUCCAAUGACAGAAUUCUCAGUAAACUUCCUGUAAGCUCUGUAAACUUCUUCUGAAGUCAGGUGACACACACAUUUUUUUUUUUUAUAACAGAGUAAAGAGUAGAAUUCUUGCCCACUGUAAUUUCAGUAGUAAACAGCAUGUAUAGGUAAUCCAAAUUUAGAAAACUCUUUGAUUUAUUGUGCAUGCUUGCUAGCUAGCAUAUCUGGAAAAUAUUUAUUUUUUAAUGUAUACAUUUUCUUUGUAGCUCAAAAUACUGGUUAAAUGCCCCUAUUGUUAAUCCUACCUGUCAAAUAUAUAGCUUAGGUCACAAUUUUCUUGUGUCAUUACACUUCAGAUCUAAUUCAUAAUAGUUUGGGGAAUUUUCCCACUCUGAAUUUUGCUGAAGUA